AGUUCUGUAGUGUAGUGGUUAGCACAUCUGCUUUACAUGCAGAAGGUCCUGGGUUCGAUCCCCAGUGGAACCA
Molecule: non-coding RNA, 73 nt
Organism: Phyllostomus discolor (pale spear-nosed bat)
Lineage: Eukaryota; Metazoa; Chordata; Mammalia; Chiroptera; Phyllostomidae
Source: the annotation of a RefSeq genome assembly